Lutra lutra (Eurasian river otter) is the source of this 564-nucleotide long non-coding RNA. RefSeq lists it as uncharacterized. The transcript has 3 exons. Lineage: Eukaryota; Metazoa; Chordata; Mammalia; Carnivora; Mustelidae. The record is from RefSeq and is a predicted model, not a curated record.
CCCUGAGGUUUCUAGGGAGGGACCAUUCUGAUUCUAGAACACAACUCUUGGCCCUCUUUCUGUUGCUUGAAUCCCACAGAAUUGAAAAUGAAUUGUUCUCCACGUCAAGACAUCCCGGGAACUGGCAUGCUACCUGGCGCCUAGGGGCCCGAGAUCCUUAUCGGAAGGGGAGGGUGGGGCCAGGAAUGUAGAGGGUAGAAGACAGGAUUUCCUGUGGAAAUUCAGCUUGAGUCUCAAAAUACCACUGGAACUAGUAACGCCGCUCUUUCCCUCUUCCUCUUCCCUACCCACCAGCAGCCCACGCGGGACCAGCUCCUUAGGGAUCCAGGUCUGAGGGCUGCAUUUGACUGUUUAUAGAACAGCAAGAAAUAGACUAAUCUUCACCUGCUGACAAAGUGAAUAUGGGUUCAACCGCCUUUGGAGAACCAGGAGAGCCCGGAAGCCGCUGACGCAGAUGUGAUAAGCCCAGAGACUCACUGAAAGUCAGGUUAGACUCAGCUGGCUGUGCUCUUCGCAGACUGUGUCCUCACAGUCGUGGAGAUGGGCAGACGCCACGGUCUAGCG